This 253-nucleotide unclassified non-coding RNA is filed under the name Hevea brasiliensis (rubber tree). The record is from RNAcentral. Lineage: Eukaryota; Viridiplantae; Streptophyta; Magnoliopsida; Malpighiales; Euphorbiaceae.
CUCCUCUUCGUUGGAGUCUUUUCGAUUAUUUCCUUUUGUGGAAUCACAUUAAUCAUUUAUGCAGCAUCAACCAUUUAUAUUGGUAAAGAUAUAAAGUUCAAUGAUCUCUUCUCAUGGAUCAGGGCUUCAUGGAAAAACCCAUUGAUCACUUGGCUGUAUGUUUAUUUCCCCUCUGCAAUUUACAUUGUUUUGGUCACAGUUAUGAUCAAAUUGGUCUCUAAAAUCUCUAGUUCCAUUUGGGGUUGGGUAGCGG